RNAcentral lists this long non-coding RNA (286 nucleotides) under Mytilus galloprovincialis (Mediterranean mussel). Lineage: Eukaryota; Metazoa; Mollusca; Bivalvia; Mytilida; Mytilidae. The record is from RNAcentral.
AAUGUUGACAUUCUUUUCCUUUGAAUACAUGAACACGCAUAAUGCAUUCGUAAUCCAUCUCUAGCUUACGGUUAAAUUGAAUGUGACAUGAAUACGGAUACAAUGGGCUCGAAUAAUAAACUUGCAUGUGAAUAAUUCAUCAUCGAUGUUUCUUAGUUUAUUUUGACAAAAUUAAACCAUACUGGCUGCUAGAGUAAAUUAUUAUUUCACUAUGUCACUUUCAUUAAUGAUUGAACAAAAACAAAUCACAUUUUAAUUGUUUUAUAUAUCUCGUAACUAGUGCCCC